This is a regulatory RNA element of 68 nucleotides. It matches the Rfam family "Rotavirus cis-acting replication element (CRE)". The record is from Rfam.
GGCGUUUAAUUCGCUAUCAAUUUGAGGAUGAUGAUGGCUUAGCAAGAAUAGAAAGCGCUUAUGUGACC